GCACCUGUAGCUCAGUGGAUAGAGCAGUAGUUUCCGGAACUACGUGGCGGGGGUUCGAUCCCCUCCAGGUGCA
This 73-nucleotide transfer RNA is filed under the name Lachnospiraceae bacterium. Its description in RNAcentral is "tRNA-Arg". It matches the Rfam family "tRNA". Rfam says of the family: Transfer RNA (tRNA) molecules are approximately 80 nucleotides in length. Lineage: Bacteria; Bacillati; Bacillota; Clostridia; Lachnospirales; Lachnospiraceae. The record is from RNAcentral.